RNAcentral lists this non-coding RNA (192 nucleotides) under Clostridium sp. HMP27. Its description in RNAcentral is "6S / SsrS RNA". It matches the Rfam family "6S / SsrS RNA". From Rfam's summary of the family: E. coli 6S RNA was the first non coding RNA to be sequenced, but its function was unknown until recently. It consists of 184 nucleotides that fold into an extended hairpin structure with a large single-stranded internal bulge. Lineage: Bacteria; Bacillati; Bacillota; Clostridia; Eubacteriales; Clostridiaceae. The record is from Rfam by way of RNAcentral.
UACUUUCUGAAAUGCUCGUUAAGCUCUUAUUUUGAACCUACAUUUAAAAUUCGGGAGUUCAAUAUUUAGAUGCGGAAAUGUACCUUCUUGUGAGUCCCCAUGGGGCAUUGAAGUCGAUUGAAACAUCUGUGAGGACACCCACCUAUCGAAGGAUAGGUGUCAAAAUUAGAGUACCGGUAUUUUGGAUAUAUA